AUUACUCCUACGGGAGGCAGCAGUGGGGAAUAUUGGACAAUGGGCGAAAGCCUGAUCCAGCCAUGCCGCGUGUGUGAAGAAGGUCUUCGGAUUGUAAAGCACUUUAAGUUGGGAGGAAGGGUUGUAGAUUAAUACUCUGCAAUUUUGACGUUACCGACA
This 159-nucleotide ribosomal RNA is filed under the name uncultured Pseudomonas sp. RNAcentral's name for it is "partial 16S ribosomal RNA". It matches the Rfam family "Bacterial small subunit ribosomal RNA", at positions 332 to 483 of the family's 1533-position model. Lineage: Bacteria; Pseudomonadati; Pseudomonadota; Gammaproteobacteria; Pseudomonadales; Pseudomonadaceae. The record is from RNAcentral.